AGGUGGAAAACCCUGUGAGGCUAUUGGGGAACUUGAAGACAGGAAAAAGAGAAGUUCCAGUCAUCAGUAUCAGCACCAGUUAGGAUGAAGGACAUAUUUGUUCUACCAAAGGAGCUAAAGAUACAGAAGACCAGUAAGGGAAAAGCUUCAUAGGACCCUGACUGUGGACUUAACGGGAGGAAGAAGACAUUAAAUCCUCACUGUCUCACUGUCUGCCCUCUGACAUCUUGGUCCAGAGCAGAGCUGACAUGCUGUUCUCCAGGUACUUCCUGGCAGAUGUGCUGCUCUUGGUGCUCCUUCAUGUGCCUGUGGUUUGGUCCAAGGACAGUGGAUAUGUUUGAUGUUGGGCCUUGCUUCAUGAGCAGAUGUAUGAAGUCAAAUAUCUGGUUUGUUGAAGAGAAGAAUACAGACAGUGUUGUUUCAUGUGAUUCUUCAUUUAGGGUUGACUCAUCUAGAAUUUUAUGCUUAAGAGGAUCAGUCUGUGAAUUUGAAGGGAUCAUCACAUUGCUGGAACACAAACUGUUACCUCUGAGCACCUUUCCUCCAAAUCUGCAUCUCAAAAUAUAGGAUUAUGACCUGUAGAUACAGUAAGGCUGGUGAAAGGUGGUGGGUUGCCAGCCCUGGACAUGAAGUACAACAUUUAUCUCCAGAACAGAGAUCAGAGGCAGCAGCUGUGCAAGCUUUCCCACGAAACGACUCCUCUGAACCACAAAAAGGAAC
Long non-coding RNA from Gavialis gangeticus (Gharial), 720 nucleotides. RefSeq lists it as uncharacterized. The transcript is spliced from 5 exons. NCBI's taxonomy places the organism in Eukaryota, Metazoa, Chordata, Crocodylia, Gavialidae. The record is from RefSeq and is a predicted model, not a curated record.